This 73-nucleotide transfer RNA is filed under the name Sus scrofa (pig). RNAcentral describes it as "tRNA-Lys (CTT) (tRNA-Lys-CTT-7-1)". It matches the Rfam family "tRNA". From Rfam's summary of the family: Transfer RNA (tRNA) molecules are approximately 80 nucleotides in length. Their secondary structure includes four short double-helical elements and three loops (D, anti-codon, and T loops). Further hydrogen bonds mediate the characteristic L-shaped molecular structure. tRNAs have two regions of fundamental functional importance: the anti-codon, which is responsible for specific mRNA codon recognition, and the 3' end, to which the tRNAs corresponding amino acid is attached (by aminoacyl-tRNA synthetases). tRNAs cope with the degeneracy of the genetic code in two manners: having more than one tRNA (with a specific anti-codon) for a particular amino acid; and 'wobble' base-pairing, i.e. permitting non-standard base-pairing at the 3rd anti-codon position. Lineage: Eukaryota; Metazoa; Chordata; Mammalia; Artiodactyla; Suidae. The record is from Rfam by way of RNAcentral.
GCCCAGCUAGCUCAGUCUGUAGAGCCUGAGACUCUUAAUCUCAGGGUUGUGGGUUCAAGCCCUACGUUGGGCG